UACAGAGGUCUCAAGCGUUGUUCGGAUUCAUUGGGCGUAAAGGGUGCGUAGGUGGCGCUGCAAGUCAGGUGUGAAAUUUCGGAGCUUAACUCCGAAACUGCAUUUGAUACUGCGGUGCUCGAGGACUGGAGAGGAGACUGGAAUUUACGGUGUAGCAGUGAAAUGCGUAGAGAUCGUAAGGAAGACCAGUGGCGAAGGCGGGUCUCUGGACAGUUCCUGACACUGAGGCACGAAGGCCAGGGGAGCAAACGGG
This 253-nucleotide ribosomal RNA is filed under the name uncultured bacterium. Its description in RNAcentral is "partial 16S ribosomal RNA". It matches the Rfam family "Bacterial small subunit ribosomal RNA", at positions 524 to 776 of the family's 1533-position model. The record is from RNAcentral.